This 58-nucleotide microRNA precursor is filed under the name Sarcophilus harrisii (Tasmanian devil). RNAcentral describes it as "Sha-Mir-7373-o8f_pre stem-loop". Lineage: Eukaryota; Metazoa; Chordata; Mammalia; Dasyuromorphia; Dasyuridae. The record is from RNAcentral.
AAGCCCUUACCCACCUCUUUGCUAAAUGUUUGCUAAUCAAAGAGAAAGGAAGGGUUGC